GGGGGCAUAGCUCAAUUGGGAGAGCGACAGACUGAAGUAACGUAGAAGGGGAGAUAUUCUGCAGGUCCCCAGUUCAAUUCUGGGUGCCCCCA
This is a non-coding RNA of Guyanagaster necrorhizus, 92 nucleotides long. The record is from the annotation of a RefSeq genome assembly. NCBI's taxonomy places the organism in Eukaryota, Fungi, Basidiomycota, Agaricomycetes, Agaricales, Physalacriaceae.